UACGUAGGUGGCAAGCGUUGUCCGGCAUUAUUGGGCGUAAAGCGCGCGCAGGCGGCCUUUUAAGUCUGAUGUGAAAGCCCCCGGCUCAACUGGGGAGGGUCACGCGAUACUGAUCGACUCGAAGGCAGGAGAGGGUAGUGGAAUUCCCGGUGUAGUGGUGAAAUGCGUAGAUAUCGGGAGGAACACCAGUGGCGAAGGCGACUACCUGGCCUGUUCUUGACGCUGAGGCGCGAAAGCUAGGGGAGCAAACGGG
RNAcentral lists this ribosomal RNA (253 nucleotides) under uncultured bacterium. RNAcentral's name for it is "partial 16S ribosomal RNA". It matches the Rfam family "Bacterial small subunit ribosomal RNA", at positions 524 to 776 of the family's 1533-position model. The record is from RNAcentral.